CCUACGGGGGGCAGCAGUGGGGAAUAUUGGACAAUGGGGGGAACCCUGAUCCAGCCAUGCCGCGUGUGUGAAGAAGGCCCUCGGGUUGUAAAGCACUUUCAGUGAGGAAGAACGCCUGGUGGUUAAUACCCAUCAGGAAAGACAUCACUCACAGAAGAAGCACCGGCUAACUCCGUGCCAGCAGCCGCGGUAAUACGGAGGGUGCGAGCGUUAAUCGGAAUUACUGGGCGUAAAGCGCGCGUAGGUGGCUUGAUAAGCCGGUUGUGAAAGCCCCGGGCUCAACCUGGGAACGGCAUCCGGAACUGUCAAGCUAGAGUGCAGGAGAGGAAGGUGGAAUUCCCGGUGUAGCGGUGAAAUGCGUAGAGAUCGGGAGGAAUACCAGUGGCGAAGGCGGCCUUCUGGACUGACACUGACACUGAGGUGCGAAAGCGUGGGUAGCAAACAGGAUUAGAUACCCUUGUAGUC
This 465-nucleotide ribosomal RNA is filed under the name Vreelandella stevensii. RNAcentral describes it as "partial 16S ribosomal RNA". It matches the Rfam family "Bacterial small subunit ribosomal RNA", at positions 338 to 795 of the family's 1533-position model. The record is from RNAcentral. Lineage: Bacteria; Pseudomonadati; Pseudomonadota; Gammaproteobacteria; Oceanospirillales; Halomonadaceae.